GCUGAGAAAACCUUGAUGGGUUGCAGGUGGGAGCAGAUGUCUUCUUUCAUCAGGGCAUCUGCUGUCCCAGGUGGGCUGGUGUACUCCUCCUCAACCACUGCUCUGCCAACCUGCAGGAAACACACUGAAAAGCAACCUUAAAACACAGCAAGCAAAGGUAUUUCUGCUUUGUUUAUGUACUCAGGAGCUCCCAAGGUGGCCAGAAGUGCUGAUGGGGAAGUUUGGACAUGAUUCAAGGGGAGCUCAGGGAGUUUCAGUCCAAGGAGAAAUCCAGUGCGAGGCAAGAUGCAAAAACCAUCAGCGCCCCAGCCGCAGCAGUCUGCAAGGGGCAGGACAGCACUGUACCGCGUGGCUCUGGGAUGGCUGUAAGCAAAGUUCAACAUCUGCUGAAGGAACGUGCAGGUUGAAUGUUAAUCUUUGGCAUGUUUCAGAGAGUUCAGAUAGAGAUCCCUGGAAAUGAGCAGGAAGGAGCCUGUGUGAGCUGACCUGAGCUAGCAGGGUGGCUUCACAGCUGGAGAUAGCAGUUCCACAGAGAGAAGCACAAGCUGAAGACAAGCAAAGAACCUCUUCCCUGUGGAAUAUAACCCCAGCCUAAACCUGAACCUAACCUGCCCUCAGGACAGGAGGGGCUUGCAAACGCUGAAUGCAAGACAUUAGGGAUUUCGGACUACUUUUUGUGACUAAAGGAGAGGUCUGUCCAUGUCCUGUACCAACUGUGGGAUGAGCAGCCUCUGUACAGCUGAAGAUUUGGUUUGGGGUUUUCUCUCCAAUACCUAAAAGAGAUGUCUAGAACAAUCUGAGGCAUCAUUGACUUUGGGGCCAGCUGUAUGACUGCAACUCCUGCCUGUGUAUCUGCUACUACAUGAAUACAAUCCACGAAACUGCAGAGCUGUCCCCAUCUCUCCAGGAAGCAAGCAGCAGCCUCUGGCCCUGCUUCAACCAAGAUGAGAUCAAAGUUCCACCAGCUGGAUGAGAGGAAGGGUGACAGGAUCGUUGCUGACCCUCUCCAUUCUUAGGGAAGCUUCUUCUCAUCUCCUGUUGGAGUAACGCUGGCCAGUGGUCCUGUUUCAGCAGCUCCAGGACCUCAUCCAGAGUGUGGGACCUCUUCCUCAGACCACAGCUGCAGGGAGGGAGGAAGCGUAGGUUGAGCAAGAGCUAGGGACAGUCAUUGUUUAGUUAAACUGGGCUGCUACGCACAUCACAACAGAACAGAUCUUCCUGUAACCAGAGAGAGAAGGACAAACAUGAACCCAAAAUGAUUAUUGUAGCAAUCACCACACAGGUAAAGAGUGCCUGGUAAGCUGUCAUUCUGGUAGUCAGAUCAGCCAAAACACAGCCUGUUACUGUCUUGAGCUAGCAUUUGAGUUAGAAAACUGUUUAAUUUUGUAUUCUUGUUUUUAUUUUUUUGUUUGGAAUCUCAAAGGGACUAUCUUAAACAGGAUUUUGGCAAUAGUGAUGAUAAAAUGACAGAAAUAUUUAAUCUCCACUCGAAUUGCCUCUUUUUGACAUUGAACUAGCACUCUGUGAAAAAGUGAUUUAUAAACAGUGGACAAAGGAAGAUGAAAUAAACACAGACAGAAAAAAAAACACUACAAAGUGCAAAGUAGUUACAGGACCAAGUUUGCCCUUUAAAAAUGAAAACCAAACCAACAAACAAAACCCCCCUUAAAAAAAAAAAAAAAAAGGCAAGAAUACUUUGUUGUGUUUUUAAGAUGUGAGUCUCAAUAGUUUCUGAAAUGAUGUUUCAAUUAUCUAUGAUUUAUUUUCUGCUGUUACGCACUUUCCUUUUCCAUGAUUGUUGUGCUAUAUCCUCUAAUUGCAUUCUAAUGAUAUUUUAGCCCGCGUUUUGAGCCUGCAUCUCUGUUGCCACCUCCCACCCGUGGCGUGAAGGACAGUGCGAGUCCACGCAGCGUGUUCUGGUUGGACACUGAGAUCUUUUCUCAGUAAGUAAUGCUGGCCUUGAGAAGGGUAUUUGUGAAAUGAAGUUUAAGAGAGCAGUUUUCAUUCAUAAGGCCAUUACGUCUUUUAAAGAAGGCAUUUACAGGCAUUUUUCCCCUUGUUUCCUAUCAACAUUUUUUACAUGAAGAAGCUAAAUGGGUUUGCUGCCCACCACUCUCCUCUCAAAACCCUCAUAAAUGAGCAGGAACAGGCAUUGUAGUUCCAGCUGGCCAGUAAAUGGAGUGUGAAAAGAAGUUUUACCUUUCUAUUUUAAAACAGAACAGAGCUUUAAAUUGCCAUACACAGAAAGAUUACAGGCAUUAAGAGAGUAAAAUAACAUAUAUUCUGUGUAGCAGAUGGCGGGAGAUGAAUAUUUCAGUCUUUCACAGUUUUUGAUCCAUUUUCCUCAAGUGUUUCAUAUCGCUCCGCUGAGAUACCUUAAUUGCUAUAGGAUACCCUCUCUCAGCAAAGAUUUCCAAGAGUAUUGCCAGUUUGCAAUAUAGGGAAAGACAAUGCUUAAGCAAAGUGACAACAACAUCCUUAUAACAAAACCCAUCUUUUCAUUUUAUGACUUUUUGUAGAGGAAUCUAAUUAUACUCCAUGAAAUAAAUAAAAUUAUGGUAACGUGAGACAAUUCUGAAAUUAGAUAGUCUUGGGCUUGAGAAAUGCUACAGGUUCGUGUUGUGUGACCAUGAUUAUCAACUGAAAAUGCUUGCUGGUUCAAGUUACGUGGAGAUAGUCCAAGCUGAGUGAGUGAAAAGACAAGGGAGGGUGUUGGGGAGUGGGAAAUGAGAGUACCCACCUCUGUGUGUGUAAGGUCAGGAGCUUCUCCCUCC
This is a non-coding RNA of Anas platyrhynchos (mallard), 2774 nucleotides long. The record is from RefSeq and is a predicted model, not a curated record. Lineage: Eukaryota; Metazoa; Chordata; Aves; Anseriformes; Anatidae.